This 1487-nucleotide ribosomal RNA is filed under the name uncultured organism. RNAcentral describes it as "SSU rRNA". It matches the Rfam family "Bacterial small subunit ribosomal RNA". The record is from RNAcentral.
GCGGCGUGCCUAAUACAUGCAAGUCGAACGAGUUCUGAUUAUUGAAAGGUGCUUGCAUCUUGAUUUAAUUUUGAACGAGUGGCGGACGGGUGAGUAACACGUGGGUAACCUGCCCUUAAGUGGGGGAUAACAUUUGGAAACAGAUGCUAAUACCGCAUAAAUCCAAGAACCGCAUGGUUCUUGGCUGAAAGAUGGCGUAAGCUAUCGCUUUUGGAUGGACCCGCGGCGUAUUAGCUAGUUGGUGAGGUAACGGCUCACCAAGGCAAUGAUACGUAGCCGAACUGAGAGGUUGAUCGGCCACAUUGGGACUGAGACACGGCCCAAACUCCUACGGGAGGCAGCAGUAGGGAAUCUUCCACAAUGGACGCAAGUCUGAUGGAGCAACGCCGCGUGAGUGAAGAAGGCUUUCGGGUCGUAAAACUCUGUUGUUGGAGAAGAAUGGUCGGCAGAGUACCUGUUGUCGGCGUGACGGUAUCCAACCAGAAAGCCACGGCUAACUACGUGCCAGCAGCCGCGGUAAUACGUAGGUGGCAAGCGUUAUCCGGAUUUAUUGGGCGUAAAGCGAGCGCAGGCGGUUUUUUAAGUCUGAUGUGAAAGCCCUCGGCUUAACCGAGGAAGUGCAUCGGAAACUGGGAAACUUGAGUGCAGAAGAGGACAGUGGAACUCCAUGUGUAGCGGUGAAAUGCGUAGAUAUAUGGAAGAACACCAGUGGCGAAGGCGGCUGUCUGGUCUGUAACUGACGCUGAGGCUCGAAAGCAUGGGUAGCGAACAGGAUUAGAUACCCUGGUAGUCCAUGCCGUAAACGAUGAAUGCUAGGUGUUGGAGGGUUUCCGCCCUUCAGUGCCGCAGCUAACGCAUUAAGCAUUCCGCCUGGGGAGUACGACCGCAAGGUUGAAACUCAAAGGAAUUGACGGGGGCCCGCACAAGCGGUGGAGCAUGUGGUUUAAUUCGAAGCAACGCGAAGAACCUUACCAGGUCUUGACAUCUUUUGAUCACCUGAGAGAUCAGGUUUCCCCUUCGGGGGCAAAAUGACAGGUGGUGCAUGGUUGUCGUCAGCUCGUGUCGUGAGAUGUUGGGUUAAGUCCCGCAACGAGCGCAACCCUUAUGACUAGUUGCCAGCAUUUAGUUGGGCACUCUAGUAAGACUGCCGGUGACAAACCGGAGGAAGGUGGGGAUGACGUCAAAUCAUCAUGCCCCUUAUGACCUGGGCUACACACGUGCUACAAUGGAUGGUACAACGAGUUGCGAGACCGCGAGGUCAAGCUAAUCUCUUAAAGCCAUUCUCAGUUCGGACUGUAGGCUGCAACUCGCCUACACGAAGUCGGAAUCGCUAGUAAUCGCGGAUCAGCACGCCGCGGUGAAUACGUUCCCGGGCCUUGUACACACCGCCCGUCACACCAUGAGAGUUUGUAACACCCGAAGCCGGUGGCGUAACCCUUUUAAAGAGCGAGCCGUCUAAGGUGGGACAAAUGAUUAGGGUGAAGUAG